RNAcentral lists this microRNA precursor (105 nucleotides) under Marmota monax (woodchuck). Lineage: Eukaryota; Metazoa; Chordata; Mammalia; Rodentia; Sciuridae. The record is from RNAcentral.
ACCCGAAUCACCUGAGGAGCUUGAUAAAAUACAAAAUCUGAUUUAGCAGGUCUGGGAUAGGGCCUGAAAUUCUGUAUUUCUAGGGAGCAACCAGAUGAUGCUAAU